UAAAGAAGCCUCUGAUUGGAGCCAUUGUUGUUCAAAUCACAUACUCUGGAAUGAGUAUUUUGGCAAAAGCUGCUUUUACUUCUGGUAUGAACAACUUCAUUUUUAUUUUUUAUAGGCAAGCUUUUGGAACUCUCUUCCUUAUCCCUCCUACCAUCCUUUUCAAAAGGUAAUUAAUUUUCUAAUUUUAAAUUUAUUAAUCACUAUUUUCAUACAACAUUUCUUUCGAAUAACACUUGUUUUUUUUUGUAUGGAUGUGUGGUAGAAAAGAAGUAGCAUGUUUAUCGAUAGGAGAUAUGUUCAAGAUUUUCAUGUUGGCUUUACUUGGGAGGAUGUUGGUGUUGAUAGCUUAUAGUUUAGGUGUUAAAUAUACAUCUGCAGUUUCUGGUGCGCUGCUUUUAAUGCUCUUCCUGUCACCACUUUUUUAUUUGCUCUUCUUCUAAGGUACUACUUCUAGUUCCUAGUAACAUAUAUAUUUAUCUAUUACAUUAUUUGAACUCGAGACUUAGCCUCUUGUGUUGUUGGUGUUUUGGUAUUGAAAGUUCAUAUAGUUAUUAUUUGAUCAAAUUUAACUAAAUUUAUAAGAAUUGAAAAUGAAUUAUAAGAACCCUUUUGAUAUUUACACUAAUUUGUGUACGUUUUCUAAGAAAAUAAAUUUGUUGAUUAGAUAUAAUUAAUUAUGUUGUCAUUUACUUUAAUUUAAUUGGAAGGAUUACCCCUAAUCUUGGAAAUAAUUGUGAAUCGAGUGCGCCCUUCAUCAUCUCCCACUUAACCUAUUUAUUUAUUUGUUUGUUUGUUAGUUAAAGAAUAUUACUUUAGAUUUAGUUGCCAACAAUUUGAUGGUUGAUUACAACUUGUAAAAAAAAAAACAAGGAUAGGGGAGAAUUGAUUUAAAUAAUAAAAUAAUAUAGUAGAUUCUGAUUGAGAUGUAAAAAUAUUUUAGUUAAUUUUGGUAUAAUUGAAAACAAAACGAUGGUGGUUUGAGAACAGGAUGGAGAAAUUAAAGGUGAAAAAAGCAAGUGGAAUGGCAAAAGUAGGAGGGCUGAUAUUGUGUGUCGUUGGUGUUUCAAUACUUGCAUUUUACAAAGGCCCUCUCAUGAAACCACUCUUCAAUUAUCAUCUUUUAGAAACUCAACACCAUAAUUCUCAUCCUUCUAAUUCUUCUCCUCAACACACAUGGGCUCUUGGUUGCUUUAUGCUUCUCAUUUCUUCCAUCUCUUCUGGCCUUUGGGCUCGUUCUUCAGGCAUUGGUUUUGAAGGAGGCUUGUCCAUCUCCACUUGUGUUAACCUGUGGACAAACCUUGUCAAGCACUUUCCAAACAUUUGUUGUGGCCAUUGCAGUUGAAUCAAAUCCUUCAGAAUGGAAGUUGGGUUGGAACAUUCGUCUCUUUUCCGUUCUUUACUGUGGAAUUUUUGUGAUCUGCAUUGGGAACUAUUUGACAUGUUGGGUGCUCAAGAAGAAGGGUCCAGUUUUUAUAGCAGCUACAACUCCAUUGAAUCUCAUUGCUACUCUCAUUGGUUCUCAAUUUUUACUAUCCGAUGGAGCCAGCUUGGGAAGUUUAAUAGGUGGAAUAUUGCUGGUUCUUAGCCUCUACAGUGUUCUAUGGGGACAAAGCAAGGAAAAUGAUCAUGAGAAUACACAAAUUAAUCUCAAUAUUAAUCCAAUUCCACCAGAAAAGGAAAUCGGAGAUUUACAUGAUAUCAACCAAAUUUCUUCUUCCAAGUCUUAAAUCAUUGUAACCUAAUUUGGAAUUUAACUAAACAUAUGUAUUGUUCAUCUAUAGCAUACAUUAUACGAUAAUGUAAGCUAUUAUAUCAAACAAACAUCUAAUAUAUUGUAUUUGCUGUACUAUAUAUACACACACGCGUGACGUAUCAGUACAUACAUUGACAUAUUUUUAAAUUGAAGGGUUUAAGAAUGCUAUUAAAUAAAUAUCUAUAGAUAUCUUUUAA
Molecule: long non-coding RNA, 1950 nt
Organism: Cucumis melo (muskmelon)
Lineage: Eukaryota; Viridiplantae; Streptophyta; Magnoliopsida; Cucurbitales; Cucurbitaceae
Exons: 5
Source: RefSeq, a predicted model, not a curated record